GGGGUUGUAGUUAAAAAUAACAUUUAAUUUGCAAUUAAAAAGAACUAAUAUAUUAGUCUGCCUCA
Molecule: transfer RNA, 65 nt
Filed under: Pyrrhopeplus posthumus
Lineage: Eukaryota; Metazoa; Arthropoda; Insecta; Hemiptera; Pyrrhocoridae
Description: tRNA-Ala
Rfam family: tRNA
About the family: Transfer RNA (tRNA) molecules are approximately 80 nucleotides in length. Their secondary structure includes four short double-helical elements and three loops (D, anti-codon, and T loops).
Source: RNAcentral